GACGAACGCUGGCGGCGUGCUUAACACAUGCAAGUCGAACGGAAAGGCCCUGCUUUUGUGGGGUGCUCGAGUGGCGAACGGGUGAGUAACACGUGAGUAACCUGCCCUUGACUUUGGGAUAACUUCAGGAAACUGGGGCUAAUACCGGAUAGGAGCUCCUGCUGCAUGGUGGGGGUUGGAAAGUUUCGGCGGUUGGGGAUGGACUCGCGGCUUAUCAGCUUGUUGGUGGGGUAGUGGCUUACCAAGGCGUUGACGGGUAGCCGGCCUGAGAGGGUGACCGGCCACAUUGGGACUGAGAUACGGCCCAGACUCCUACGGGAGGCAGCAGUGGGGAAUAUUGCACAAUGGGCGGAAGCCUAAUGCAGCAACGCCGCGUGCGGGAUGACGGCCUUCGGGUUGUAAACCGCUUUCGCCUGUGACGAAGCGUGAGUGACGGUAAUGGGUAAAGAAGCACCGGCUAACUACGUG
RNAcentral lists this ribosomal RNA (468 nucleotides) under uncultured bacterium. RNAcentral's name for it is "partial 16S ribosomal RNA". It matches the Rfam family "Bacterial small subunit ribosomal RNA", at positions 28 to 507 of the family's 1533-position model. The record is from RNAcentral.